AGCAGUCGCCGCGGGAAUACGGAGGGUGCAAGCGUUAUCCGGAUUUAUUGGGUUUAAAGGGUCCGUAGGCGGAUCUGUAAGUCAGUGGUGAAAUCUCACAGCUUAACUGUGAAACUGCCAUUGAUACUGCAGGUCUUGAGUAAAUUUGAAGUGGCUGGAAUAAGUAGUGUAGCGGUGAAAUGCAUAGAUAUUACUUAGAACACCAAUUGCGAAGGCAGGUCACUAAGAUUUAACUGACGCUGAUGGACGAAAGCGUGGGGAGCGAACAGGAUUAGAUACCCCUGUAGUCCCUGUCUCUUAUAA
This 303-nucleotide ribosomal RNA is filed under the name uncultured bacterium. RNAcentral's name for it is "partial 16S ribosomal RNA". It matches the Rfam family "Bacterial small subunit ribosomal RNA", at positions 507 to 809 of the family's 1533-position model. The record is from RNAcentral.